GUUCCAGAAUAAUCGGCUAUACAUUUUAAUUUUUAACUCUAUUUGUUGUUAUAUUACUUUUUUUUUAUUCUUUUUUAUGUUUUUUUUGUAAAAAGUUUUGAUUUUUUUGUAUUUUUUUGUAAUAUUUAAAAUUUGUUUUUUGAACUGGAUUAGUACCCAGGUAAUCAAAGUUUAUUAAUUCGGGAGUAAAGUUUUGUUUAAACCGAAAAAAUAUUGACUGACUUUAGAUUUUUCUUUGGAAUAUGUGUUUUUGGAGAGCCCUCUUUUUUGGUGAAUUUUAUUGGCACAUGUAUGAUUGUUUAGUUUUUAUGUUAUUUGUGUUGCUUUUUUGUUUUUUUGCAUUUAAAACAGAUAUAUAUUUGGCUUAUAAAUUUAUUUUUCAUGUAUUACUAUUAUUAAUUUUUUUUGGAUUUAUUUUUUAUUUUAUUUUUGAAAUUGGAAAAGAAAGUAAUUUUUUCUUUAUGUGUUAAUGAAUUUAAUAAAUAAAGUGGUACAAACCAUCCGUCAAU
Molecule: ribosomal RNA, 509 nt
Filed under: Dirofilaria repens
Lineage: Eukaryota; Metazoa; Nematoda; Chromadorea; Rhabditida; Onchocercidae
Description: partial 12S ribosomal RNA
Source: RNAcentral